This 240-nucleotide unclassified non-coding RNA is filed under the name soil metagenome. Its description in RNAcentral is "partial contains 5.8S ribosomal RNA, internal transcribed spacer 2, and large subunit ribosomal RNA". The record is from RNAcentral.
AACGCACGAGACCUGCGGACCUGCGGAAGGAUCAUUACCGAGUUAUCAACUCCCAAACCCCUGUGAACAUACCCGAACGUUGCCUCGGCGGGACCGCCCCGGCGCCCCUAGCGGCCCGGAACCAGGCGCCCGCCGGAGGACCCAAACUCUUGCUUUAAACAGUGGCAUACUCUCUGAGUCUCACAAACAAAAAAUAAAUCAAAACUUUCAGCAACGGAUCUCUAGAUCGGAAGAGCACAC